RNAcentral lists this ribosomal RNA (426 nucleotides) under Microbacterium sp. 05-7823. RNAcentral describes it as "bacterial SSU rRNA". It matches the Rfam family "Bacterial small subunit ribosomal RNA", at positions 72 to 510 of the family's 1533-position model. Lineage: Bacteria; Bacillati; Actinomycetota; Actinomycetes; Micrococcales; Microbacteriaceae. The record is from RNAcentral.
CACGGAGCUUGCUCUGUGGGAUCAGUGGCGAACGGGUGAGUAACACGUGAGCAACCUGCCCCUGACUCUGGGAUAAGCGCUGGAAACGGCGUCUAAUACUGGAUACGAGUAGCGGCCGCAUGGUCAGUUACUGGAAAGAUUUUUUGGUUGGGGAUGGGCUCGCGGCCUAUCAGCUUGUUGGUGAGGUAAUGGCUCACCAAGGCGUCGACGGGUAGCCGGCCUGAGAGGGUGACCGGCCACACUGGGACUGAGACACGGCCCAGACUCCUACGGGAGGCAGCAGUGGGGAAUAUUGCACAAUGGGCGGAAGCCUGAUGCAGCAACGCCGCGUGAGGGAUGACGGCCUUCGGGUUGUAAACCUCUUUUAGCAGGGAAGAAGCGAAAGUGACGGUACCUGCAGAAAAAGCGCCGGCUAACUACGUGCCA